GCAGCAUGGUCUUAGCUUGCUAAGGCCGAUGGCGACCGGCGCACGGGUGAGUAACACGUAUCCAACCUGCCGUCUACUCUUGGACAGCCUUCUGAAAGGAAGAUUAAUACAAGAUGGCAUCAUGAGUCCGCAUGUUCACAUGAUUAAAGGUAUUCCGGUAGACGAUGGGGAUGCGUUCCAUUAGAUAGUAGGCGGGGUAACGGCCCACCUAGUCUUCGAUGGAUAGGGGUUCUGAGAGGAAGGUCCCCCACAUUGGAACUGAGACACGGUCCAAACUCCUACGGGAGGCAGCAGUGAGGAAUAUUGGUCAAUGGGCGAGAGCCUGAACCAGCCAAGUAGCGUGAAGGAUGACUGCCCUAUGGGUUGUAAACUUCUUUUAUAAAGGAAUAAAGUCGGGUAUGGAUACCCGUUUGCAUGUACUUUAUGAAUAAGGAUCGGCUAACUCCGUGCCAGCAGCCGCGGUAAUACGGAGGAUCCGAGCGUUAUCCGGAUUUAUUGGGUUUAAAGGGAGCGUAGAUGGAUGUUUAAGUCAGUUGUGAAAGUUUGCGGCUCAACCGUAAAAUUGCAGUUGAUACUGGAUAUCUUGAGUGCAGUUGAGGCAGGCGGAAUUCGUGGUGUAGCGGUGAAAUGCUUAGAUAUCACGAAGAACUCCGAUUGCGAAGGCAGCCUGCUAAGCU
Molecule: ribosomal RNA, 677 nt
Filed under: uncultured Bacteroidales bacterium
Lineage: Bacteria; Pseudomonadati; Bacteroidota; Bacteroidia; Bacteroidales
Description: bacterial SSU rRNA
Rfam family: Bacterial small subunit ribosomal RNA
Source: RNAcentral